Long non-coding RNA from Callorhinchus milii (elephant shark), 200 nucleotides. RefSeq lists it as uncharacterized. NCBI's taxonomy places the organism in Eukaryota, Metazoa, Chordata, Chondrichthyes, Chimaeriformes, Callorhinchidae. The record is from RefSeq and is a predicted model, not a curated record. The transcript has 4 exons.
UUGGAUAAUUGGAUUCCCAAAUCUUUCAAAAGAUAGUGGUAUUAUUUUCCAUUAUCUGUUUUCAGCGAUCAAUGGAUUGCAGGGGUUCUUAAUUUUUAUCAUUUGUUUCGUGAUAGACAAAAAGGUGCAUGAAGCUCUAAGAAUGAGGUUUCCAUUUGACCAGAAUCCUUAUGUUUCAAAGCUGUCGCAAAGCACGUCUG